This 3896-nucleotide ribosomal RNA is filed under the name Cutaneotrichosporon cutaneum. RNAcentral describes it as "large subunit ribosomal RNA". It matches the Rfam family "Bacterial large subunit ribosomal RNA". The record is from RNAcentral. Lineage: Eukaryota; Fungi; Basidiomycota; Tremellomycetes; Trichosporonales; Trichosporonaceae.
UAAAAGACUUUAAAAGUAUGAUUAAAUAUGGUAAUUUAAAUGUAAGUAAUCAAAGUGAUUAUUAAGGAUGCCUAGCAAACAUUUAUUAAAGGACGACUUAAAUGUUAGAAUGUCGAAAAGCUGUAGAUAGUAGGUAUAAUCCCGAUGAGAUUAUAUCGACGAGUUCUAGUUAUAAUAUAAAAUUUAUAGCACCUCGUCGCUUGAGGCGAUCCUAAGGUAAACCGUAAAGUAUAAACACAGUGAACUGAAACAUCUAAGUAACUGUAGGAAAGGAAAUCAACCGAGACUCCAUAAGUAGUGGUGAGCGAAAGUGGAAAUUAGCCAUAAUUUAUUAAUAUUAGAAUCGUUUGGAAAAAGGAAUCCGUAGUAAGGUGAAAGCCCUGUAUAUAUUAAUAGAUUAAUACAAUUGAAAUAGGUAGAAGAGAAUCUGCUCAUAUUGAAAAAGUAAAAUUUUUUGUUUAUAUAAAAAAAUUAAAAUUAUAAAAAUAGUUUUAAUUUUUUGUUUCGAUUUAUUAAAUUAAUUUAGUAAAUCAAUAUUAGUUCCAAUGAGAAUUAAAGGGAGAAAUCUAUUAAAUUAUUUAUUAAUAAUAAAUAGUAUAUAAUCAGGGGAACCAUCCUCUAAGGCUAAGUAUAAAUGUUUAGCGAUAGUGAAAAGUAACGUGAGUGAAAGGUGAAAGAGGCCGUUGUUGACCGAGGGGUGAAAAUAGACCUGAAUUAGUAAUCAUAUAAGCAAUUAGAGCUAAGAUUUUAUGCCGAUACUAGGCUUAAAUUAGUGAUAAUGUACCUUUUGUAUAAUGGGUGGAAUAAGCAAGCCCACAAUAAUUUAUAAUUAUUGAAAAAACUGACUCAAGGCAAAUGUGCCGGUAUAAAGUAGAAAAAUAAAUACUUUAUGCUAACGGUAGAUACCUAUAUAAGGCAAUACCGUGAAUUAUAGAAAAUUUUCUAUAAUUUGUAACGACUCUUCUGGCCCUUUUUAUUUUCGCAUUACUUGUUGUGGUAUUAAAAAGGGAAUUAGUAAUGGAAGGAUUUAUGACAGGGUCAUAAAUUAAAAGGUCAGCAGUUUAAUUUUUAUUUUUUGAAAUAAAAUCAAUUGAGAAUGGUAAAAUUUUAAGCUGAUGGUAUAGUCUGAACUAAUAUGAAAGUAUUAGAAUAACAUUUUGUAGCGAGUUGAUAAUAGUAGCAAGGUUAUAAACCCUAGCGAAAGCAACUAACAUAAUAUGUGGUAUAGUUACUAUUAUCAGACCCGAAACGCAGUGAUUUAUCCAUGACCAGAUUAGUAAUUAGAUCGAAUGGUUCAAUGUUGCAGUAUUGUCCAAUGAGUUGUGGAUUGUAGGUGAAAGGCCAAUCUGACUGCGAGAUUGCUGGUACUCCUCGAAACAUAUUUUAGUAUGACUUUUUGUUUAUAUUUAUGCAGGUACAGCACUGAUUAUCACACAGGAUUUCUAUUUUUAGGAAUAAUGUACAAUUGGGGGGUCGUUGAGACUUUAUCAUUGGUAAUUAACCUCGGAACAACAUAAAUUAACAUACAAAAAUUUCAGACUAUUCAUGAUAAGGUGGAUAGUCGAGACGGAAACAGCCGUGAACAUAGAAUAAGGUCCCAAAGUAAUGAUUAAGUGAAAAUAAGGAAGUGGUGAUUUGAAAACAACUAUAUAGUUAGCUUGGCAGUUGCUAUCUUUUAAUGAAAGUGUAACAACUUAGUAGUCUAGUGAAUCAUCGCACCGAAGAUAAACGGGUCUUAGAUCAUUCACCGAAACUAUGUCUAUAUUCUUCUUGUUUAUUGAAAAUUUUUCUCUCGUAAGAGGAUGACUCCUUCCUAUCGCGCUCAAAUAAGCGUCUAGGGGGGAGAAUAAUAAAUAUAUAUAGGAAGAAUGAAGGGUAGAGGAGCAUUCAGUAUGGUAGAAGAAUAGUGUUACAUUAUUUGGACAUUACUGAAGAGAUUAUGCUAACAUGAGUAACGUAGAAAGAAGAUAUAAUACUUCUCGCCGAAUGCGAAAGGGUUGUUAAGCUAUGUUAGACAGCUUGAUAAAUAAAACGGUCUCUAAGACUAUGCGCAAGUCAUUGUUAAUAGUUGAUGAGUAUAAAUUAGAAAGUCUUUGACCAAGAAAAUAUAUCAGACAAUAGCUUUAUAAUAGUAUUUCUUAAUAUAUUAAUAGGUCGUGUUAUACGUUAUAUUAGGAUAUUAGAUUUAUAUAAAUAAAAUGAUUUUCAUUUUAUUUUAUAUUUUUUCUAAUAAAGACAAAAAUGAGCUUAUUACUAUUAUUUAAAGUGUUUUGCAUUUACCGUACCCUAAACUGACACAAGUUCGUAGGUAGAGAAUACUAAGGCGUAGAGAUAAUACUGUUCAAGGAACUCGGCAAAAUGCGUCCGUACACUAGAUAAUAAGGGCUACCCGUUAUAAAAUAGAUAGUAAAAUAGCAGAAACUUGAUUGUGUCAAAUAGACAGGCUUAAAGUCUUUCAUGGGAGAUGAUUAUGGUCAGAUCAAAGUGGAGCUUUUGUAUGUUGGGAUUAAUAUUUCAUAAAUUAAUAUAUUAUUAUGAUAUUUCAUAAUAAUAUAUUAUUGCCUAACCUAAGGUUGAAAAUUAAUGAAUCAAUAUAUACUAUCGAUAUAAUAUAAUAGGGUGACAGAAAAUCGUGAAGCACAACUGUUUACCAAAAACACAGGUAUCUGCUAUGUUUAAUAACAUUGUAUAGGUACUGAAUCUUGUCCGAUGUCAUGGGUAUAAUACAGGUACUAAAUUAUGGAUAUUUGUAGAAACUCUGAUCAAUGACAGUCUUAACUAUAAGGAUUUUAAGAGUAGCGAAAUUCCUUGGCCAUUAAAUGUGGUCCCGCAUGAAUAGAGUAAUGAUGCUUCAGCUGUCUCAAACAGUAUCUCAGUGAAAUUGAAUUAGCCGUGAAGAUGCGGUUUAGGUGUGGGCAGACGGGAAGACCCUAUGCAGCUUUACUAUAGCUAGUCAGGGCUAAAUAAAAAUGGAUGACAGACAAAAGGUACAUGGAUUUACAAUAAGUAGUUUAAAUGAAAAAUUUAUGAUACAUAUGAAUAUAGAUAUUCAUUUGUAUAUAUGAAUCUAACUUUAAUAUAAAGUUUAGUUUAAAUUAUAUUUAUGUAAAAUUUAGGGCGAUGAAAGACCAUUAGAAAUUUUUAUGAAGUUCCAUUCCCAUUUAUUGACAGGGGUUGAUGACUAGGUGGUAGUUUAACUGGGACGGUUUCCUCCAAUAGAGUAUCGGAGGACUUCAAAGGUAUGUUUGUGUGAGAUGGAAACUCAUUUGUCAUAUAUGACGAAAUAAAACGUAAAGGUAUAUACAUACUUAACUGCUAGACUGAUAAGUCAAACAGAUACGUAAGUAGGACUUAAUGAUCCGGUGAUUCUUUAUGGAAAGGUCAUCGCUUAAGAAAUAAAAGUUAAACAGGGUAAUAGCUCUAGAGAGUUCAUAUUGUCAGAGCUGUUUGCCACCUCGAUGUCGACUCAUCUUCUCCUCCCGGUGCACAAUCUGGGAAGGGUUCUGCUGUUCGCAGAUUAAAAAGGUACGUGAGUUGGGUUCAAUACGACGCGAGUCAGUAUGGUUCCUAUCUUCCACACCAAAGAAUAAUCAAAUUUAGAUGGAUUUUUAGUACGAAAGGACCAGAAUCUGCGUUUCUAUGGUGUACCAAUUGUUGAUUUGACUUACUAUAUUAUACCCUCGUAGAAGUGUAGGGCAAGUAUAGUCUAUAUAUGUCUAUAAUCGGCAUCGUUGGGUAGCUACAAACGUUAAGGAUAAAAGCUGAAAGCAUAUAAGCUAUUGAAGCCUACUAAAGGAGAUUUACCACUAUACAGGUGGAUUAUGUUAGAGAUAGACUAUCUCUUUAAUAGGUCACGAGUGUACUCAUUGUAAAAUGUUUAGCUUAGUGAUACUAAU